AACGAACGCUGGCGGCAUGCCUAACACAUGCAAGUCGAACGAUGCCUUCGGGCAUAGUGGCGCACGGGUGCGUAACGCGUGGGAAUCUGCCCUUGGCCUCGGAAUAACAGUUAGAAAUGACUGCUAAUACCGGAUGAUUUCCCCCUGAGAGACCUUGGGGACCAAAGGUUUAUCGGCCAGGGAUGAGCCCUCGUAGGAUUAGGUGGUUGGUUGGGUAAAUGCCUACCAAGCCGACGAUCCUUAGCUGGUCUGAGAGGAUGGUCAGCCACACUGGGAGUGAGACGCGGCCCAGACUCCUACGGGAGGCAGCAGUGGGGAAUAUUGGACAAUGGGGGGAACCAUGAUCCAGCAAUGCCGCGUGAGUGAUGAAGGCCUUAGGGUUGUAAAGCUCUUUUACCAGGGAUGAUAAUGACGGUACCUGGAGAAUAAGCUCCGGCUAACUCCGUG
This 447-nucleotide ribosomal RNA is filed under the name uncultured bacterium. Its description in RNAcentral is "partial 16S ribosomal RNA". It matches the Rfam family "Bacterial small subunit ribosomal RNA", at positions 29 to 507 of the family's 1533-position model. The record is from RNAcentral.